RNAcentral lists this ribosomal RNA (576 nucleotides) under uncultured eukaryote. RNAcentral's name for it is "SSU rRNA". It matches the Rfam family "Eukaryotic small subunit ribosomal RNA", at positions 174 to 758 of the family's 1831-position model. The record is from RNAcentral.
UAAAAACCCCGACUUCGGAAGGGGUGUAUUUAUUAGAUACAAAACCAAUGCCCUUCGGGGCUCUUUGGUGAUUCAUGAUAACUAUACGAAUCGCACGGCCUUGCGCCGGCGAUGGUUCAUUCAAAUUUCUUCCCUAUCAACUUUCGAUGUUUGGGUAUUGGCCAAACAUGGUUGCAACGGGUAACGGAGGGUUAGGGCUCGACCCCGGAGAAGGAGCCUGAGAAACGGCUACUACAUCCAAGGAAGGCAGCAGGCGCGCGAAUUACCCAAUCCCGACUCGGGGAGGUAGUGACAAUAAAUACUGAUACAGGGCCCUUUCGGGCCUUGUAAUUGGAAUGAGUACAAUUUAAAUCCCUUAACGAGGAACAAUUGGAGGGCAAGUCUGGUGCCAGCAGCCGCGGUAAUUCCAGCUCCAAUAGCGUAUAUUAAAGUUGUUGUGGUUAAAAAGCUCGUAGUUGAACCUUGGGCCUGGCUGGCCGGUCCGCCUCACCGCGUGCACUGGUCCGGCCGGGCCUUUCCCUCUGUGGAACCCCAUACCCUUCACUGGGCGUGGCGGGGAAACAGGACAUUUACUUU